RNAcentral lists this ribosomal RNA (460 nucleotides) under uncultured bacterium. RNAcentral describes it as "partial 16S ribosomal RNA". It matches the Rfam family "Bacterial small subunit ribosomal RNA", at positions 338 to 795 of the family's 1533-position model. The record is from RNAcentral.
CCUACGGGUGACAGCAGUGAGGAAUAUUGGUCAAUGGGCUUACGCCUGAACCAGCCAAGUCGCGUGAGGGAAGACUGCCCUAUGGGUUGUAAACCUCUUUUGUCAGGGAGCAACGCCGGCUACGUGUAGCCGGACUGAGAGUACCUGAAGAAAAAGCAUCGGCUAACUCCGUGCCAGCAGCCGCGGUAAUACGGAGGAUGCGAGCGUUAUCCGGAUUUAUUGGGUUUAAAGGGUGCGUAGGCGGAAUGCCAAGUCAGCGGUAAAAGCGCGGGGCUCAACCUCGCUCCGCCGUUGAAACUGGCGUUCUUGAGUGGGAGAGAAGUAGGCGGAAUGCGUGGUGUAGCGGUGAAAUGCAUAGAUAUCACGCAGAACUCCGAUUGCGAAGGCAGCAUACCGGCGCCCAACUGACGCUGAAGCACGAAAGCGUGGGUAUCGAACAGGAUUAGAUACCCCUGUAGUC